Molecule: ribosomal RNA, 844 nt
Filed under: uncultured Verrucomicrobiota bacterium
Lineage: Bacteria; Pseudomonadati; Verrucomicrobiota
Description: bacterial SSU rRNA
Rfam family: Bacterial small subunit ribosomal RNA
Source: RNAcentral
CAAGUCGGACGAGAUUUUUCGUUGUAGCAAUACGAUGGAAAGUCUAGUGGCGAACGGGUGCUUAACACGUGGGCAACCUGCCAUGAAGUGGGGGACAGCUCGCCGAAAGGCGAAUUAAUACCGCAUGUGAUUAGAGAGGACAUCCUUUCGAAAUCAAAGUCGGGGCAACCUGACGCUUCUUGUGGGGCCCGCGGCCUAUCAGCUAGUUGGUGAGGUAACGGCUCACCAAGGCUUUGACGGGUAGCUGGUCUGAGAGGACGACCAGCCACACUGGGACUGAGACACGGCCCAGACACCUACGGGUGGCAGCAGUCGAGAAUUUUUGACAAUGGGGGAAACCCUGAUCGAGCGACGCCGCGUGGAGGAUGAAGGUCUUCGGAUUGUAAACUCCUGUCAUUGGGGAACAAUGCACAGAUAUUAACUGUAUUUGUGUUGAUAGUACCCGAAGAGGAAGAGACGGCUAACUCUGUGCCAGCAGCCGCGGUAAUACAGAGGUCUCAAGCGUUGUUCGGAUUCAUUGGGCGUAAAGGGUGCGUAGGCGGCGCGGUAAGUCGGAUGUGAAAUCUCGGAGCUUAACUUCGAAACUGCAUUCGAUACUGCCGUGCUUGAGGACUGGAGAGGAGACUGGAAUUUACGGUGUAGCGGUGAAAUGCGUAGAUAUCGUAAGGAAGACCAGUGGCGAAGGCGGGUCUCUGGACAGUUCCUGACGCUGAGGCACGAAGGUCAGGGGAGCAAACGGGAUUAGAUACCCCGGUAGUCCUGACAGUAAACGGUGCACGUUUGGUGUGGGAGGAUUCGACCCCUUCUGCGCCGGAGCUAACGCGUUAAACGUGCCGUCCUGGGG